This 253-nucleotide unclassified non-coding RNA is filed under the name uncultured Flavobacteriaceae bacterium. RNAcentral describes it as "contains 16S-23S intergenic spacer region". It matches the Rfam family "Bacterial small subunit ribosomal RNA", at positions 524 to 776 of the family's 1533-position model. The record is from RNAcentral. Lineage: Bacteria; Pseudomonadati; Bacteroidota; Flavobacteriia; Flavobacteriales; Flavobacteriaceae.
UACGGAGGAUCCAAGCGUUAUUCGGAAUCAUUGGGCUUAAAGCGUCCGUAGGCGGGAUAUUAAGUCGGUGGUGAAAGUCUGCAGCUCAACUGUAGAAUUGCCAUUGAUACUGUUGUUCUUGAGUGUUUAUGAGGAGGUUAGAAUAUGUAGUGUAGCGGUGAAAUGCAUAGAUAUUACAUAGAAUACCGAUUGCGAAGGCAGAUCACUAGUAAAAUACUGACGCUGAUGGACGAAAGCGUAGGUAGCGAACAGG